This 253-nucleotide ribosomal RNA is filed under the name uncultured bacterium. RNAcentral describes it as "partial 16S ribosomal RNA". It matches the Rfam family "Bacterial small subunit ribosomal RNA", at positions 524 to 776 of the family's 1533-position model. The record is from RNAcentral.
UACGUAGGCAGCGAGCGUUGUCCGGACUUACUGGGCGUAAAGAGCGCGCAGGCGGUCGUUCAAGUCGAGUGUGAAAGCCCCCGGCUCAACUGGGGAGGGUCAUUCGAUACUGAUCGACUCGAAGGCAGGAGAGGGAAGCGGAAUUCCCGGUGUAGUGGUGAAAUGCGUAGAUAUCGGGAGGAACACCAGUGGCGAAGGCGGCUUCCUGGCCUGUUCUUGACGCUGAGGCGCGAAAGCUAGGGGAGCAAACGGG